UGCGUAGGCGGGCUAAUAAGUCAGUGGUGAAAUCUCUCGGCUCAACCGGGAAACUGCCAUUGAUACUGUUAGUCUUGAGUUCGGUUGAGGUAGGCGGAAUGUGUAAUGUAGCGGUGAAAUGCUUAGAUAUUACACAGAACGCCAAUUGCGUAGGCAGCUUACUAGACCGACACUGACGCUGAGGCACGAAAGCGUGGGGAGCGAACAGGAUUAGAUACCCUGGUAGUCC
This 229-nucleotide ribosomal RNA is filed under the name uncultured bacterium. RNAcentral's name for it is "partial 16S ribosomal RNA". It matches the Rfam family "Bacterial small subunit ribosomal RNA", at positions 568 to 796 of the family's 1533-position model. The record is from RNAcentral.